GUCGAACGAGGUCCAAGCAGUCGCAAGACUGCGGAAGACCGAGUGGCGAACGGGUGCGUAACACGUGAGGAACUUGUCCCGGUCUCUGGAAUAACAGGUGGAAACACCUGCUAAUACCGGAUGCCGUCGGACCGUCGCAUGGCGGUCUGACGAAAGGGUUACCGGAUCGGGAGAGCCUCGCGGCCUAUCAGCUUGUUGGUGAGGUAACGGCACACCAAGGCAUCGACGGGUAGCUGGUCUGAGAGGAUGAUCAGCCACACUGGGACUGAGACACGGCCCAGACUCCUACGGGAGGCAGCAGUGGGGAAUCUUG
RNAcentral lists this ribosomal RNA (313 nucleotides) under uncultured soil bacterium. RNAcentral's name for it is "bacterial SSU rRNA". It matches the Rfam family "Bacterial small subunit ribosomal RNA", at positions 61 to 366 of the family's 1533-position model. The record is from RNAcentral.